Molecule: long non-coding RNA, 799 nt
Organism: Hypanus sabinus (Atlantic stingray)
Lineage: Eukaryota; Metazoa; Chordata; Chondrichthyes; Myliobatiformes; Dasyatidae
Exons: 2
Source: RefSeq, a predicted model, not a curated record
CCCCAGCAUGGAAUUCACAGCAAACAGCCAGCUCUGGAGUCUCCUUCCCCAGCAGCCGGAACAGGCAACACUGAGGGUCACCAUAUCGUGAACUGAGGUUCCAACAAACUGCACUGCAGAUGGAUGAGAAGUAGGUUUCCAUCUACUCUUCAAGCUCUGUGGUCCACUAAACAUACUUAGAAUGGAUGACACAUGAUUUGAAGCAAAUCCAAUUCAAUCCUUCUGCUCUCUUUGGCCAAACAUCUGAAGAUAAUGAGGAUGCUCACGCAGUAAAGAUGGAACCAAUUUGAUCAUUUAGCAUGUGGAGAAGGAAGUGCUGAUUACAUAUCGUCAGGACACUGAAGCAGAUGGUUUUGGUUACUGAACUUUCCCAGGUGGCUAAAAACUAGGCAAGUCACUAGGUUUAUACAAAUGUACAUGAAAUAUAGCAAUAUCUUGAUAGUCUACAAGCACUUUGAAUUUUGUCCUUUCUUUUUCGAUCAGGUAAGAACUGAUAUGGUAUAAACCGAAUUUUGUAUAAUAUGACUUCUUUCAUCCAUUAAAAUAAAAUCUAUCUUUGCAACCCAGGUAAACCAAUUUAAAAAGUCUUCAGAUUUAUCUGAAAAAUUAAAAAUGCCUUAAAAGAUGUAAUGUGACUGAAUUAAUGCAUUUAAGGGUUCUUCCAAAUUCAUAACUGUAGUGAACUAAUCCUAUAUCUGAACCCUACACUCUCUAAUUAUUUUUGGUCUUUGGGAUUAAUUUGUAUUUUUUUAAGUUGACGUUGCUAGUGAUAUAUUGUUAUAAUAGAACUUAAAGUUUU